Molecule: ribosomal RNA, 253 nt
Filed under: uncultured bacterium
Lineage: Bacteria
Description: partial 16S ribosomal RNA
Rfam family: Bacterial small subunit ribosomal RNA
Source: RNAcentral
UACGUAGGGCGCAAGCGUUGUCCGGAAUUAUUGGGCGUAAAGGGCUCGUAGGCGGUUUGUCGCGUCGGGAGUGAAAACCAGGUGCUUAACACCUGGCUUGCUUUCGAUACGGGCAGACUAGAGGUAUUCAGGGGAGAAUGGAAUUCCUGGUGUAGCGGUGAAAUGCGCAGAUAUCAGGAGGAACACCGGUGGCGAAGGCGGCGACCUGGUCCGACACUGACGCUGAGGCGCGAAAGCGUGGGGAGCAAACAGG